AUACAGAGGGUGCGAGCGUUAAUCGGAAUUACUGGGCGUAAAGCGCGCGUAGGCGGUCUAUUAAGUCAGAUGUGAAAUCCCAGGGCUCAACCUUGGAACUGCAUCUGAUACUGGUAGACUAGAAUUUUGGAGAGGGAAGUAGAAUUUCAGGUGUAGCGGUGAAAUGCAUAGAGAUCUGAAGGAAUACCAGUGGCGAAGGCGACUUCCUGGCCAAAAACUGACGCUGAGGUGCGAAAGCGUGGGUAGCAAACGGGAUUAGAAACCCCAGUAGUCC
RNAcentral lists this ribosomal RNA (274 nucleotides) under uncultured bacterium. Its description in RNAcentral is "partial 16S ribosomal RNA". It matches the Rfam family "Bacterial small subunit ribosomal RNA", at positions 523 to 796 of the family's 1533-position model. The record is from RNAcentral.